Molecule: ribosomal RNA, 613 nt
Filed under: uncultured bacterium
Lineage: Bacteria
Description: bacterial SSU rRNA
Rfam family: Bacterial small subunit ribosomal RNA
Source: RNAcentral
CCUACGGGAGGCAGCAGUGGGGAAUCUUGCGCAAUGGGCGAAAGCCUGACGCAGCAACGCCGCGUGCGGGAUGAAGGCCUUCGGGUUGUAAACCGCUUUCAGCAGGGAAGAAAUUGACGGUACCUGCAGAAGAAGCCCCGGCCAACUACGUGCCAGCAGCCGCGGUAACACGUAGGGGGCGAGCGUUGUCCGGAUUUAUUGGGCGUAAAGAGCUCGUAGGCGGUUCGGUAAGUCGGGUGUGAAACCUCCAGGCUCAACCUGGAGACGCCACCUGAUACUGUUGUGACUAGAGUCCGGUAGGGGAGUGUGGAACUCCUGGUGUAGCGGUGAAAUGCGCAGAUAUCAGGAAGAACACCAGCGGCGAAGGCGGCACUCUGGGCCGGUACUGACGCUGAGGAGCGAAAGCGUGGGUAGCAAACAGGAUUAGAUACCCUGGUAGUCCACGCCGUAAACGUUGGGCACUAGGUGUGGGUCUCAACCAACGAGAUCCGUGCCGCAGCUAACGCAUUAAGUGCCCCGCCUGGGGAGUACGGGCCGCAAGGCUAAAACUCAAAAGAUAGUACGGCGUCGAGACGACGUCCGAACGGACGACGACCGAACGGGGAGGUUAAGG